This 1097-nucleotide ribosomal RNA is filed under the name Haloferax sp. S2CR25. RNAcentral describes it as "bacterial SSU rRNA". It matches the Rfam family "Archaeal small subunit ribosomal RNA", at positions 1 to 1096 of the family's 1478-position model. Lineage: Archaea; Methanobacteriati; Methanobacteriota; Halobacteria; Halobacteriales; Haloferacaceae. The record is from RNAcentral. RNAcentral also lists the same sequence under 1 other name.
AUUCCGGUUGAUCCUGCCGGAGGUCAUUGCUAUUGGGGUCCGAUUUAGCCAUGCUAGUUGCACGAGUUCAUACUCGUGGCGAAAAGCUCAGUAACACGUGGCCAAACUACCCUACAGAGAACGAUAACCUCGGGAAACUGAGGCUAAUAGUUCAUACGGGAGUCAUGCUGGAAUGCCGACUCCCCGAAACGCUCAGGCGCUGUAGGAUGUGGCUGCGGCCGAUUAGGUAGACGGUGGGGUAACGGCCCACCGUGCCGAUAAUCGGUACGGGUUGUGAGAGCAAGAGCCCGGAGACGGAAUCUGAGACAAGAUUCCGGGCCCUACGGGGCGCAGCAGGCGCGAAACCUUUACACUGCACGCAAGUGCGAUAAGGGGACCCCAAGUGCGAGGGCAUAUAGUCCUCGCUUUUCACGACUGUAAGGCGGUCGUGGAAUAAGAGCUGGGCAAGACCGGUGCCAGCCGCCGCGGUAAUACCGGCAGCUCAAGUGAUGGCCGAUAUUAUUGGGCCUAAAGCGUCCGUAGCCGGCCACGAAGGUUCAUCGGGAAAUCCGCCAGCUCAACUGGCGGGCGUCCGGUGAAAACCACGUGGCUUGGGACCGGAAGGCUCGAGGGGUACGUCCGGGGUAGGAGUGAAAUCCUGUAAUCCUGGACGGACCACCGAUGGCGAAAGCACCUCGAGAAGACGGAUCCGACGGUGAGGGACGAAAGCUAGGGUCUCGAACCGGAUUAGAUACCCGGGUAGUCCUAGCUGUAAACGAUGCUCGCUAGGUGUGGCACAGGCUACGAGCCUGUGCUGUGCCGUAGGGAAGCCGAGAAGCGAGCCGCCUGGGAAGUACGUCCGCAAGGAUGAAACUUAAAGGAAUUGGCGGGGGAGCACUACAACCGGAGGAGCCUGCGGUUUAAUUGGACUCAACGCCGGACAUCUCACCAGCUCCGACUAUAGUGAUGACGAUCAGGUUGAUGACCUUAUCACGACGCUAUAGAGAGGAGGUGCAUGGCCGCCGUCAGCUCGUACCGUGAGGCGUCCUGUUAAGUCAGGCAACGAGCGAGACCCGCACUUCUAAUUGCCAGCAGCAGUUUCGACUGGCUGGGUACAU